GACGAACGCUGGCGGCGUGCUUAACACAUGCAAGUCGAACGACGUGGCGAACGGGUGAGUAACGCGUAAUCAACCUGCCCUUCAGAGGGGGACAACAGUUGGAAACGACUGCUACUACCGCAUACUGAAGGAGGGGAUUGCGUCUGGUGAGCUAGUUGGAGGGGUAACGGCCCACCAAGGCGAUGAUCAGUAGGCGGUCUGUAGGGAAGAACGGCCACAAUGGGAAUGAGGCACGGGCCAGAAUCCUACGGGAGGCAGCAGUGGGGAAUCGUUCGCAAUGGACGAAAGGCUGACGGAGCAACUCCGCGUGAGGGAUGACGGCCUUCGGGUUUGAAAGGUACGUUAAGCGGGAAGCGGUACCGGAAGAGAAAGCCACGGCUAACUACGUGCCAGCAGCCGCGGUAAUUC
Molecule: ribosomal RNA, 408 nt
Filed under: uncultured bacterium
Lineage: Bacteria
Description: partial 16S ribosomal RNA
Rfam family: Bacterial small subunit ribosomal RNA
Source: RNAcentral